UUUUGGACAAUGGGCGCAAGCCUGAUCCAGCCAUUCCGCGUGAGUGAAGAAGGCCUUCGGGUUGUAAAGCUCUUUCGCAAGGGAAGAAAACUUACUUUCUAAUAAAGAGUGAGGUUGACGGUACCUUGAUAAGAAGCACCGGCUAACUACGUGCCAGCAGCCGCGGUAAUACGUAGGGUGCGAGCGUUAAUCGGAAUUACUGGGCGUAAAGCGUGCGCAGGCGGCUUUGUAAGUCAGAUGUGAAAUCCCCGAGCUCAACUUGGGAACUGCGUUUGAAACUACAAGGCUAGAAUAUGUCAGAGGGGGGUAGAAUUCCACGUGUAGCAGUGAAAUGCGUAGAGAUGUGGAGGAAUACCAAUGGCGAAGGCAGCCCCCUGGGAUAAUAUUGACGCUCAUGCACGAA
RNAcentral lists this ribosomal RNA (403 nucleotides) under uncultured bacterium. RNAcentral describes it as "bacterial SSU rRNA". It matches the Rfam family "Bacterial small subunit ribosomal RNA", at positions 362 to 757 of the family's 1533-position model. The record is from RNAcentral.